GUAUACACGGGAAAAAAUCGUUGCCGGAUCCAUGACUAAAAUGUUAUGAAAUCAUAAAACUUGUCGCUUCAUGAUAUUGUAACUACAAGUCAUGAUAUCGUGACGUUAACAACGAUUAUCAUGAAUAAUAAUAACUGAUUCCAUCAACAAAAGCCAUGGCCGUCAAAAGCGUUAUGAAAAAAUUAAGCUCGUUUUCAUAAAUUGAAUACCAUAAAGCUGAGUCAUGGUAGCAAGGCUCUGAGUCAUAAAACUAUGACGCUGAGUCAUCUCAACCAGACGCUGAGUCAUAUAAACAUAACGCAGAGUCAUAAAAUCAUGAAUCACAACAAACGAAUUUGGGCACUGUAAGCGUUACGCAAACCCUCGCGCAGAAUCACCUAGGCCAUUUUUGUCACUUCUGUCAAGGCGCCUUUUGUGAGCGGCAGUGUUUUCCGAAGUUGAAAGUGGAAAAACUCCAUAUUCCGGCACAAAACUCCGGCCAGCUUCAUCAGCAGCAGAACAAUCAAGCUCACGCACAAUUCCGGCACAAAAUUUUGGCUAAAUGCAUGACGUAAUCUAUGGACGCCCCCUAUGUCUAUGGACCAUUUUACGAGACGAUUCAGAACAACUGAUCGUUCAUUUUAUGAAUGAAAAUUUGACA
Aedes albopictus (Asian tiger mosquito) is the source of this 640-nucleotide long non-coding RNA. RefSeq lists it as uncharacterized. The transcript is spliced from 2 exons. Lineage: Eukaryota; Metazoa; Arthropoda; Insecta; Diptera; Culicidae. The record is from RefSeq and is a predicted model, not a curated record.